AACGAACGCUGGCGGCAUGCCUAACACAUGCAAGUCGAACGAAUGGUUUCGGCCAUUAGUGGCGCACGGGUGAGUAACGCGUGGGAAUCUGCCCAGCAGUGGGGGAUAACCUCUGGAAACGGAGGCUAAUACCGCAUACGCCCCUCGGGGGAAAGGCUUGCUGCUGCUGGAGGAGCCCGCGUCGGAUUAGGUAGUUGGUGGGGUAACGGCCUACCAAGCCUGUGAUCCGUAGCUGGUCUGAGAGGAUGAUCAGCCACACUGGGACUGAGACACGGCCCAGACUCCUACGGGAGGCAGCAGUGGGGAAUAUUGGACAAUGGGCGCAAGCCUGAUCCAGCAAUGCCGCGUGAGUGAUGAAGGCCUUCGGGUUGUAAAGGCUCUUUCGUCCCACGACGAUGAUGACGGUAGUGGGAGAAGAAGACCCGGCUAACUUCGUGCCAGCAGCCGCGGUAACUGUCUGUACU
This 464-nucleotide ribosomal RNA is filed under the name uncultured bacterium. RNAcentral describes it as "bacterial SSU rRNA". It matches the Rfam family "Bacterial small subunit ribosomal RNA", at positions 29 to 531 of the family's 1533-position model. The record is from RNAcentral.